This is a long non-coding RNA of Chelonia mydas (Green sea turtle), 2479 nucleotides long. RefSeq lists it as uncharacterized. The record is from RefSeq and is a predicted model, not a curated record. The transcript is spliced from 3 exons. NCBI's taxonomy places the organism in Eukaryota, Metazoa, Chordata, Testudines, Cheloniidae.
CAAUUCAGGGACAUUCCCUAGUUUGAAGAUUUGGUUCAAUCACUUGAAUUUCUCUAAACAUCUGAUGUGGAAAUCAUUAUCUUGGUCAAUUCUAGUACUUCCUGGGAUUUCUCAGGCUGCGAAGAAUGACAAAAUUACCUCUCACGGAGCUUCUAUACUUCUCAUUCUGCUGCACUAAAGUGAGGAAGCCUAGAGACCUGCAAACAUUGAUUUCUGAAAAGGCAGAAAAUAUGAUCUAGCAGUUAGAGCAUAAGGCUGAGAAUCAUGAGAUUGGGGUUCUAUUCCUGGCACUGGUACAAAGUUGUUUUGUGACCUUGCUUCUCCUGGAGCGGCAGGCGCUUUCAGCUGUACUGGGAAACUUCAUGGAGGCUGAAGUGGAUUCUGGCCCAGUACCAGGAACACAUCAAGAGCCUGAGACUCCUGUACAACAGGGGAAAAGACUCCAACAGUCGCUCCAGGAGGGAUUGCCAUAUACACUCCUUCUACUACGAGCUUGACUGUGUGCUCAUGAACCUGAAGUGGCUCAAGACCCCCUGCUUAGCCCUACCCGCGUCGUCCCAUGGGAUACCAAUAUGGGCCAGAGCAAGGAGGCAGCGGGGACCGCAGAAGAUGCCCCAGAAGACCCAGAGGAAGAAGAAUAUUUUGUACCUCCCACCCGAAGGACUUGGUUGAGGAAGCCCCUGUGAACAACCUGAGGAGUAUCCCAAACCACAGCAGAAACCAGAAUCCAAGGCUGCGUCUUCCCACUACAUCUUACCAUCCCUUUACAAACAGGAGCUGCACAAAAGGGGAGAGCAUGGAGGUGGAGCAGAUGUUAUGUCCACAAAGGGAAAAAGAACCCUUCAUUUGUCUGAGGCUCAUGACAGCAGUCCUUCUCACUUGGAAGAUUACAGAUAUUGCUACCGUCCCUGUACCUGGUGUCUGGCCUCCCCACACUGAGCAUUGUUGCACAAUCCAGGGGAAGUAGGGGUGAGAGAAGAAUCUCGUCUGGAGGUGGGAUAAAUCCAGUGCAAAUGUCCCUUUGCUGUGGAGAGGUAAGGGGCUUGUGGUGCUGAUCUGAAACUUCAGGGAACCCAAUCAAGUUCCAGUGCUUCUCCCUUUCCCUGUCCAUUUCACCACUGUUAACCAUGAACAGGAGCAGGAUUUUCUGGUGAUGGGGGUAGGACUUUCAUGUUCAUUUCUCCCUUUCCAUGGGAAUGCCAUAUAUACUAGUUGAGAUUGUAGUCAAUUUCCAGUUUAAUUGCCUCCCAGUCCUGUAAGCAUAUUUCAGCAAAUUCCUGGUGUAGCAGAAACUCCAGCUGGGUCUCGAUUACAUUGCAGUGCAAAUGUGCUUGGUCCUUCCUAGCUGACUAAACCCCUCCAUUCAGCAAUAUGUAGGGGGUGAUCAUUUGCAGAAACAUCUGUGAGGCACAAAUUGCUGAAUCUCCCCCACAGGACUCUCUUUUCCAUUCUGGUACUUUGAAAACUACUAUGUUCGUCAAAGGCUGGCCAACAUUUGGAGAAGAAAUGGCAAACUGGUAACAUAGCCCCAGGAAGGAACUGCCACUCCACCCUCUUGAGAUACUAUUGUUUUUUAAAAUUUAAAUUUUUCAUAUGUAUAUCUGACUGUUAGAAGCCUCUGCUCCUUCCCUGGGGGCUGAAAAUGUUGCUUGAGAACCAAGGAUAGUCCAACACCCGUAUUGCUGCAAUGCUGAGGAGCAUCAAUAUUGUGGCCUUCUGGAGCAAAGUUUUGUUAUGUGGGGGGAUUUCUCAGCUUCGUCCAAAGGAGAAAAAAAAUGCUACCCAUGUCUUUGAAUUGGCAGGACCUUUGACUCCUGACGGUGAAACCAUUCUGCCAGGAAGUCUGGAGCAGGACUAUAGAGACAGCAAAGGCAGACAGAGGAGGACCCUGGAGGACCUGCAGUGCUCAUUGGAAUGGACCAGAGGAACCAGGAACAGUUUGAGUUCCUCAGGACACAGGAAUAUUGGGUUCUUCAGCAGGGAGAGACACUGAUAAACCAGUUCCUGGAGAAGGAGGCACGCCACAGGGAAUGGGAGCAUGUCCUAAUGGAGCAGCUCAUAGAACUGGUGGCCAAAUGAGCUCAGAAUCUGUCUGCUGCCAUGGCCACUGCACCUCUUCAGGAGCUAGCACCAUAUCUUCCUCCUCCAGCUGCCACCCAGGGUGAUGAGGUGGAGGACCCAACCCCCCAGAGUGGCUGGCAGAAGCUUGCAGGACUCCCAGGACAACACCAUCAACUGAAGCCCACCAAGUGAAACCCUCAAACCCUGUGCAGGAGACAUCCCUGGUUGUCCCCAAGAACAAUUUUCCACAGUGGUUCUUCUCCCCUACCCCCCAGUCAGGGGAAGGGCAAGGAGGAGGGUGCAGACCUUGACAUUUGGCCCUGGGUCAGGGAUUCAAUCCCUUUAUGUUUUGUUAGUUUGUUUCCUUUUUAAAAAACAUCAGUUACACAUUCAAUAUACUAGUUUUAAUAAAUGUUAA